This 30-nucleotide non-coding RNA is filed under the name Rattus norvegicus (Norway rat). Lineage: Eukaryota; Metazoa; Chordata; Mammalia; Rodentia; Muridae. The record is from RNAcentral.
UGGCAGACCUUGGAAUCUUCUACAGGAUGC